Molecule: long non-coding RNA, 244 nt
Filed under: Lathyrus oleraceus (garden pea)
Lineage: Eukaryota; Viridiplantae; Streptophyta; Magnoliopsida; Fabales; Fabaceae
Description: Pisum sativum (pea) long non-coding RNA (PSAT_LNC013723)
Source: RNAcentral
AAGAACUUUCUCCUUGCUCUUGGCGUUGUCUAGCCUGUUGCCUCCUACGUCUCGUUUUGCUAUUGAGCCUCCUUGCGGUUCUCUCGAUCUCGGGAUCAAAAAGAAGUUCGUCCACAGGGAUUUGCCCUCGCAUAAAACGUAAGCUGCACACUAAACCAAACAAAUUACAAGCACAAGUCAAAAAUUCAAAAGCUAAAAAUUAAGCAACCAUUGCGAUGCUCGCAAUAUCAAUUUACAAUCCCCG